This 204-nucleotide long non-coding RNA is filed under the name Pan troglodytes (chimpanzee). RNAcentral describes it as "long non-coding RNA NONPTRT002567". Lineage: Eukaryota; Metazoa; Chordata; Mammalia; Primates; Hominidae. The record is from RNAcentral.
ACAGCUUUCUGUGAAGAGGGCUGCAGAUACGGUGGAACGUGUGUGGCUCCUAACAAAUGUGUCUGUCCAUCUGGAUUCACAGGAAGCCACUGCGAGAAAGAUAUUGAUGAAUGUUCAGAGGGAAUCAUUGAGUGCCACAACCAUUCCCGCUGCGUUAACCUGCCAGGGUGGUACCACUGUGAGUGCAGAAGCGGUUUCCAUGAC